GAUGUACAUGUUUGAAUUGGAUCUUCAUCUAUGGUUUCCUUUGUCAACAUUUUGUUAGAAACGAAUGAGAUGAGAAAAAGUAAAAUCCAAGAAAGACGUUCAUUGCUUAAUGAUAAUCAUAGGAAAUUACAAAAUACAAUUAAAAAAUACAUAUAUAAGAGAAUUAAAACUUCGGGUAUACGUGACUUCAUUAUAAAAUAACAAGAAAUAACAAAGAACCUUCUUGAUAAAGCCUUACUGACUUUUUAAACAAUAAAGUGUUUUGCAAAGUUGGCCAACAUACUGUAAUUUAUUCUUAUCCGAAACAGAUAACUCCACAACCCAUCAAGCGAGAAUGAGUUUUCGUGCUUUCGUUAUAGUCAAAGUGUAACAUGGGAAAUUGAACAAGUGCAUUCACCACUUGUGACCGAUAGAGUCGCAAAAAAUUUUUUUGUUGAUUAUUAUUACUAUGUACUCGGGAUAGCCUCUGCAGUUCUUAUUUGUAGUGUUACCAACGAAGCUCCUGCGAAUAAACAGCCGUAAAAAGACACUGGUCAGGAUAACAAUCCUAUUCUCAUGGUGAACAUCAGACGACAAGAACGUUUUUAGUCCCUGAUAUGACUCGGCUAGGUUACAAAGUAAACACUCUAUUACAAGCUUGCCAGUUUGAAGCAGCGACUAAUACAACAUACCACAAAGCGUGGUCAAAAGAAAUCUCUUUCGAUCACAUCAUUACCAAAAAAAAUGAAUGUUUACCCAACCUCAAUCCCAGGGCCUUUCCUCCGGCAUAAAAGAAGAAACAAGGAGGUCUGGGAUAGAAGUUGAUGUUUACCUUUAAGUGGAUUUGUUUACAAGUCAUACAAUACAACUACCAGUAGCUGUACUUAACACACAGAAAUAGGAAUGUAAUUUUCGUUGGAAGGAAUUUUCGCAGAGGAGAGUAAAGAAAAAAUACUAAUGUUAUAAAUGCUAGUAACAGUGUUGCAGUGUAAAAUUGUGUAAUUGGUGAUGAUUCAAAGAAAUACCUUAAUUAUUUGUCA
Hydractinia symbiolongicarpus is the source of this 1019-nucleotide long non-coding RNA. RefSeq lists it as uncharacterized. NCBI's taxonomy places the organism in Eukaryota, Metazoa, Cnidaria, Hydrozoa, Anthoathecata, Hydractiniidae. The transcript is spliced from 2 exons. The record is from RefSeq and is a predicted model, not a curated record.